AGGUCAGUCGGGACUACCCGCUGAG
Molecule: ribosomal RNA, 25 nt
Filed under: Teucrium pseudoscorodonia
Lineage: Eukaryota; Viridiplantae; Streptophyta; Magnoliopsida; Lamiales; Lamiaceae
Description: Teucrium scorodonia subsp. baeticum partial 28S ribosomal RNA
Source: RNAcentral